GGAGAGGUGACCGAGUUGGUUGAAGGUGUGCGCCUGCUAAGCGUAUGUAGGAGAAAUCUUACCGAGGGUUCGAAUCCCUCCCUCUCCGCCA
This 91-nucleotide transfer RNA is filed under the name Candidatus Cloacimonadota bacterium. Its description in RNAcentral is "tRNA-Ser". It matches the Rfam family "tRNA". Rfam says of the family: Transfer RNA (tRNA) molecules are approximately 80 nucleotides in length. Their secondary structure includes four short double-helical elements and three loops (D, anti-codon, and T loops). Lineage: Bacteria; Pseudomonadati; Candidatus Cloacimonadota. RNAcentral also lists the same sequence under 2 other names. The record is from RNAcentral.